UGCUUUUAGUAAAUAGCCGCAGUAUUUUGACUGUGCUAAGGUAGCAUAAUCAUUAGUCUUUUAAUUGAAGGCUGGUAUGAAUGGUGAGACGAGAAAAUUUCUGUCUCUUUUAAAAUAAUUGAAUUUCAUUUCUGAGUGAAAAAGCUAAGAUAGUUUUGAAGGACGAUCAGACCCUUUGGAGCUUUAUUUAUUUUUUAUAAUAAAUUAAUAUUUAAUGAUUGUUGUAGAAGAUGAAUUUUGUUGGGGCGACAGAGAGUUUAACAUAACACUCUUUUUAUUAAACAAAAAUAAUUGAAUUAUUGAUCCCUAAAGAAGGAUUAGAAGACUAAGUUACCCUAGGGAUAACAGCGUAAUCUUUUUGGAGAGUUCUUAUCGAUAAAAAGGUUUGCGACCUCGAUGUUGGAUUAAGAAAUUAGCAAGGUGCAGAAGUUUUGCUGGAGAGUCUGUUCGACUUUUAAUAUCUUACAU
Molecule: ribosomal RNA, 468 nt
Filed under: Ceriodaphnia cornuta-rigaudi complex sp. CeCo_Ma_AAK M-2085_01
Lineage: Eukaryota; Metazoa; Arthropoda; Branchiopoda; Diplostraca; Daphniidae
Description: partial 16S ribosomal RNA
Rfam family: Bacterial large subunit ribosomal RNA
Source: RNAcentral